RNAcentral lists this ribosomal RNA (609 nucleotides) under Pichia kudriavzevii. RNAcentral describes it as "partial large subunit ribosomal RNA". It matches the Rfam family "Eukaryotic large subunit ribosomal RNA", at positions 33 to 668 of the family's 3401-position model. Lineage: Eukaryota; Fungi; Ascomycota; Pichiomycetes; Pichiales; Pichiaceae. The record is from RNAcentral.
GUUGCAUAUCCAAAUAAGCGGAGGAAAAGAAACCAACAGGGAUUGCCUCAGUAGCGGCGAGUGAAGCGGCAAAAGCUCAGAUUUGAAAUCGUGUUUCGGCACGAGUUGUAGAUUGCAGGUUGGAGUCUUUGUGGAAGCGUGUGUCUAAGUCCCUUGGAACAGGGUGCCAUUGAGGGUGAGAGCCCCGUGAGACGCGUGCGGAAGCUGUAAGGCCCUUCUGACGAGUCGAGUUGUUUGGGAAUGCAGCUCUAAGUGGGUGGUAAAUUCCAUCUAAGGCUAAAUAUUGGCGAGAGACCGAUAGCGAACAAGUACUGUGAAGGAAAGAUGAAAAGCACUUUGAAAAGAGAGUGAAACAGCACGUGAAAUUGUUGAAAGGGAAGGGUAUUGGGCUCGACAUGGGAUUUGCGCACCGCUGCUCCUUGUGGGCGGCGCUCUGUGCUUUUCCUGGGCCAGCAUCGGUUUUUGCCGCAGGAGAAGGCGUGCUGGAAUGUGGCUCUUCGGAGUGUUAUAGCCAGUGCGAGAUGCUGCGUGCGGGGACCGAGGACUGCGACAUCUGUCUCGGAUGCUGGCACAACGGCGCAAUACCGCCCGUCUUGAACCACCGGACCA